UUUACUUUUUAUAUUAUUAAAAUAAAAUAUCACGACCGGGAAUAGGUACAAAUUAAACACACGUCAACAAAUAAAAUACAAGGUAAUAUAACAAUGUAUAAUAAUCCACCACAGCAUUUUAAUAAUAAUAUUUAAAUUAAAACCUAAUCUUUAAAAACUUAUAUUAAACUUGCAAUUUUCAAAACUCCAAAAUCCCUAUUUAUAAACGGCGGUUGGAUUGCGUUUACUUAACCCGAAUUUAAAAUUUGACAAGACCCAGCCCCUGAAAUAGGACGCUAAUAUUUAAAUUAAAAUAGGUUUGUACGUAAUAAUUAUUCCCCUUUAAUAAAAACGUCCUCGUUUUAGGUAAUAAUCUAAAAUAUAAAACCGGGUAAAUUUUUAACAAACGUAUAUAAAUCGCAAUCGUUUCGCGUAAUUUUCCAUUAAUAAUAAAUACUAUUUUCCUCUAAGGAAACAAAGUAUAGCGUUAGCGAUUUAUAAGCCCCACUUAAUUUAUAUAUUUAAAACCUUUUUAAUUUUUCAAUAAAAAACGUUUUAAUUGAAUUUAUUUAUUUUUAUUUCUUUUCCAAUUUAAAAUAUUAGUAGCUUUUUGCCCGCGUUAUUUGCACGUUUUAAUCGCGUCUCUUCCUGCAUUUAACUGACUUUUACUCCCAGUUUUUAUUAUAUUUUUUGCAUUUAAUUGUAUUGCGGGUUUUACCCAAAGAAACGCCCGCAAAUUCCAAACGUCCGUUUCUAUUAAAAUUGGUAUUGAUAUAACCUAUAAUUACACCGUGUAUAGAAAUUAUUUUCGUCGCGCUGUUAAUAUUGCCAAAAAUACCAAACAUUUCCCUAAAUUUAAAUAUAUAUAAGAAACGUUUUGUAAAACGGAUAAAAUAAGCAAAUCUCGCUUUUAAUACAAGAAGAGUUUUAUAUUUAUAAGUUGGUAGGUUAUGCUACUUUUGCGUUAUUAACUUUUUCCUAAUUUCUUAAUUGUUUAAUUAAUAUAUAUUAGGCGAUUGUAUUUAUGGAAAGUAACUUUGUUAAUUUUCUUAUUUAUUAAAUAUUAUAAACCUUGCCACCUAAGUUAACGUCGGCAACAGUUUACCUAAAAGAAUUAACAAAUUGCUUGGGGUUUUAGUAAAUUUUAUAUUAUUUUAUAUAUUUACCAUAUAUUUUGAAAUCGAAAAACGGAAAUGUUUUGGCCAAGUUCAUCUUUUUUAAAAUAAGAGCAGUUUUUUAAAAGUUUUAAAUAAAAUAAAAAUAGCCAAAAUUUAUUAUUUUGAAAUUAUAAAUAUUAUGUUUUUUAAUCCAAUAUAUUUUAGCGUUUUUGUUUAAAAAUUUUCGAUUAACCCACUAUUUUCCCAAACGAUAUAAUAUUAUAUUACAUUUUAUAUUUUGGCAAUCUUCUUAUCUACGGGUUUACUUCCCUAUUACCGCGUUUUUCAAAAAAUAAAUAUAAAGUUUCAAAAAUAUAAUUCUAUUAAAAUUAUAAAAAACGGCGUGGGUGGAAACCGAUUGUUUGUUUUCGCGAUUUUAUACCCGUUAAUAAUAAUAAUAAUAUUUUUAUUAUAAAUAAUAUACCUGGUUUUCUUCAGAAAGCUAUUGCUCUCGUUGCGCCUAUUUAAAAAUUCAGGUUUAUAUGGGUCUUUUCUUUUAUUUACCUUAGAAACUUAGCGCUUUUCUCCGUUUACCUCUUUUUAUACGGAUAGUUCAUUUAUUUUCAAAUUUGGCGUCGUUAUUAUAUUUAAUUCGGGACACGCUUUUUAAAAUAUUAAAAAAACGCAGGUUUGAAAUUCUAAAUAAAUUUACCCGCAGUUUCAACGCUCGAAUUAUAAUUAGCCAGUCGUUUCGCCGCUUUAAUAAUAAAUUUAAUUCCCCGCGUUUUAAUAGGAAUCCCAUUAUUUACUCUCGGCCUACCUUUUAACAAAUAUAUAGGUUUUUUACCAAUAAGGUAAUCUCCCGCGUUUUCCGUUUAUUUUUUCUGGUAAUAUUGGACGAAACUAAUUUUUAAUCAGCGUAUUUUCCGAAAAAAAAAACGUUUUGGUAUUCUUUUGUAAAAUUGCCUAAUAAACGUUAAUAUUAAAUCUGGGUUUGGUUUAGUUUUUUUAUAUAUAAUUUGCUAAUAUUAACUAAAUUCGGAAAGAUUUAAAUCCUUGUUAUAUUUCGUGCGUUAAAUUCCUAUAUUUUUAUUUUAUAAUAAUAACCUUCCAUCCAAUUUGGCUUUUUGGGUUAGUUUUAUAAAACUUACUCUAUUUUCCUUUUUGCAAAUAGGGUUUCCUUGGGUAUAUAUAAACUAUACUAGGUUCACUAGUUAAACCAUUUAAUUAUAUAGUAAAUAACAUUAUUUUUAAUAUAUACGUUUUAAUUUUUUCCACAUUUUAAUUUUUUCAUUUUUUACUUUGGGUAAAAUAGGGUUUUAUAAUUGUUUGGGUUCCGGGGCCUUUAUAAUUUUGGAAUUAUAGCAGAAAACAUUAUAUAACUUAUUUAAUUAUAUUAGUAAAACCAAAUAAUACUUUUGUUUUUCCACGUUAUAUAAAGCUUUAAAAAGCUUAAUAUAUUUAAAUUUAUUUUUGGCGUUUUGUUUCAAAUUUAAUAUUGGGAAUCAAUCAUUAUAUUUAAAUACCUCGCUUCAAUUCCAGAGUUUGUGUUUUUUAUUAUAAUAUUUUUUAUAUUGUUCUAUCAUUUAAAUUCGCUUUUCCCGCCAGUUAUUUUUCAAUUUAAUAAAUUCCUUAAACUUGCUUUAUAUUAUUAAUAUAAUUGUUAUCCCCCCUUUACUAAUACGUCUUCGGCUUUCAAAUAGAAAUUUCUUUUUUCUGCCUAAAAACACCAUUUUAAAUAAUAUAUUUACCAUUUUGAAAUUGCGUUAUCAUAUACGUAUUUAAUUAUAGGUAAAAUAUAUACCUAAAUAUUUUAUUGCUUUUAUGCAUAAUGUUUGAAAUAUCAUUUUAUAAUUUAAUCGGACUUUUUAGUUUGCCUGUUUAUUUGCGGAUAAAAUAUAAUAAAUAUACGUAUUUUAAUAUUUAAUUUGUAAUAACCUUUUUUUCCAAAAUUUAUCCGUAAAUAAUUUAUCCUUAUUUAUAAUAAUCCCCAGUAAAAAUUUAUAACGGUAUUUUGUUUCUUUACUUAAAAAUUAAAUAAACUCGAGAAUUUCCAUAUUGUUUUCAAUGGUUAAAAACCGCGCCAUUUUGGUUAAUUUAUUUAUUACAGUUAAAAUGGCGUUUACUGUAAUAAAAUUAUAUUUUACAUUAGGUAAUCUAAUAAUCAAAUCCAGAAAUCUUUCUUUUCAAAUUUUCUCGGGUAAAGGUAGUAAUUAUAAUAUAAUAUAUUAGCAUUAUUUAAUUGCUUUUACCAAUUUAUAUACCGUAAAAUUUAAAUAACCGAUCAAUAUUAUUUUUUAUCAGUCUCUAAUAAUAUUUCUUUUAAAUUUAAAGUUUUAGCGAUUCCUUAAUAUUUAAUAUAUAAAUUAUUAUAAUAAAACUUCGAAAAUUCUUUGUUUACAUUACAAUUAUUUAGCACGUAAAAUUUUCCCUUAUAAUUAAAAAUAUUACCUAUAAUUACAAUCUAAUUU
RNAcentral lists this small RNA (3547 nucleotides) under Pyricularia oryzae. RNAcentral describes it as "Magnaporthe oryzae sRNA M_BR32_EuGene_00144791". Lineage: Eukaryota; Fungi; Ascomycota; Sordariomycetes; Magnaporthales; Pyriculariaceae. The record is from RNAcentral.